This is an RNA transcript of Gastrolobium bilobum, 1534 nucleotides long. It is a transcript of the gene named isocitrate dehydrogenase [NAD] catalytic subunit 5, mitochondrial, with no coding region annotated. Lineage: Eukaryota; Viridiplantae; Streptophyta; Magnoliopsida; Fabales; Fabaceae. The record is from RefSeq and is a predicted model, not a curated record. The transcript is spliced from 8 exons.
CCAAUAAUUUGGUUUGUGCGUUGUGUUUGUUGUGGUUGUGCUUGAGGAACAGAAUCAGAAGGUGUGCGUGUGUCAGCUAUGGCUUCUCAGCUCCUAAGACGAUUCCUCGGAAGCCGCUCUCUGGGAAACCCUAGGGCUUUCUCUUCCGCAUCAACUCCGAUCCGUGCCACUCUUUUCCCCGGCGAUGGUAUUGGUCCCGAGAUCGCUGAAUCCGUCAAACAGAUAUUCAAAUCAGCUGAAGUGCCAAUAGAAUGGGAAGAGCACUAUGUAGGGAAUGAAAUUGACCCCAGAACGCAGAGCUUUCUGACAUGGGAAAGUUUAGAAUCAGUAAGGCGAAAUGGGGUCGGCUUGAAAGGGCCAAUGGCUACCCCUAUUGGAAAAGGGCAUCGUUCACUAAACCUUACUCUUAGGAAAGAACUUAAUUUAUAUGCCAAUGUUAGACCUUGUUACAGCCUUCCUGGCUACAAAACUCGAUACGAUAAUGUAAAUCUCAUCACGAUCCGUGAAAAUACGGAAGGCGAGUACAGUGGGCUUGAACAUCAGGUUGUGAGAGGUGUAGUAGAAAGUCUAAAAAUCAUCACACGUCAAGCAAGUUUAAGGGUGGCUGAGUAUGCUUUUCACUAUGCCAAGGCACAUGGAAGAGAGAGAGUGUCUGCUAUACACAAAGCCAACAUUAUGCAAAAGACUGAUGGUCUUUUCCUCAAGUGUUGCCGAGAGGUUGCAGAGAAGUAUCCUGAGAUAACGUACGAGGAAGUUGUCAUUGACAAUUGCUGCAUGAUGCUUGUGAAGAAUCCUGCACUUUUUGAUGUGUUGGUGAUGCCUAAUCUUUAUGGGGAUAUUAUCAGUGACCUUUGUGCUGGCUUGAUUGGAGGAUUGGGCUUGACACCAAGCUGCAACAUUGGCGAGGGAGGUAUUGCACUUGCUGAGGCUGUACAUGGUUCAGCACCUGAUAUUGCUGGAAAGAAUUUGGCCAAUCCAACUGCUUUGCUGCUGAGUGCUGUUACAAUGUUGCGCCAUUUGAAUCUCCAUGACAAAGCAGACCAGAUUCAAAAUGCCAUCCUCAGCACAAUUGCAGAAGGGAAGUACCGAACUGCUGAUCUUGGUGGCAGUUCAAAGACAUCUGAAUUUACAAAUGCAAUUAUUGAUCAUCUUUAAGUUAUGCUUUGGAGCCAUGAAGAAAUUGUUGCUUAUGAUUUUGUUUUCAGUCAAUUUCCUUUUAUUUCCCCAAUUUUUCCAGAGGAAUAGGAUUACCUCAGCUUAAUGGAAAACUCAUCUACAUGUCAUCUACGUGUGUGACAUUACAACCAAAGAUAAGGAAUGGGCAAGCAUUCGAAUUUUCGCUGCUCACUGCGGUCUUAUGGCAUUGAGAGGGGCAUACCCUUCAAAAUAUGCAUUUAUUGACAAUCCUCGGCUGAUGUUUGCUUACUUUAUUUAUAAAAAAAAUCUUGUUGAAAAUUGUGGCUCGUUUGUGUAUCUUGGGCUAUAUUUAUAUACGAAAUCACGGAUGGAAGAAUGGAAUAAAAUUACCCUAUCA